UACGGAGGGAGCUAGCGUUGUUCGGAAUUACUGGGCGUAAAGCGCACGUAGGCGGCUUUGUAAGUUAGGGGUGAAAGCCCGGAGCUCAACUCCGGAAUUGCCUUUAAGACUGCAUCGCUCGAAUCCGGGAGAGGUGAGUGGAAUUCCGAGUGUAGAGGUGAAAUUCGUAGAUAUUCGGAAGAACACCAGUGGCGAAGGCGGCUCACUGGACCGGUAUUGACGCUGAGGUGCGAAAGCGUGGGGAGCAAACAGG
This 253-nucleotide ribosomal RNA is filed under the name uncultured Sphingomonas sp. Its description in RNAcentral is "partial 16S ribosomal RNA". It matches the Rfam family "Bacterial small subunit ribosomal RNA", at positions 524 to 776 of the family's 1533-position model. Lineage: Bacteria; Pseudomonadati; Pseudomonadota; Alphaproteobacteria; Sphingomonadales; Sphingomonadaceae. The record is from RNAcentral.